GAACGCUGGCGGCGUGCUUAACACAUGCAAGUCGAACGGGCCCGCUCUCUUUUUUGGGGGUGGGUUGAGUGGCGAACGGGUGAGUAUCACGUGAGUAACCUGCCCCCUGCUCCUGGAUAACUGCUUGAAAGGGCGGCUAAUACGGGGUGUGCCGGCUGGUCCGCAUGGGCCUGGUCGGGAUAGUUUCAUCUUCGGGUGUUUCGGUGGGGGAUGGGCUCGCGGCCUAUCAGCUUGUUGGUGGGGUGAUGGCCCACCAAGGCGGUGACGGGUAGCCGGCCUGAGAGGGUGGGCGGCCACACUGGGACUGAGACACGGCCCAGACUCCUGCGGGAGGCAGCAGUGGGGGGUAUUGCACAAUGGGCGGAAGCCUGAUGCAGCGACGUCGCGUGAGGGAUGGAGGCCUUCGGGUUGUGAACCUCUUUCCCCGGUGGUGAAGGCCCUGUCCGUUGCGGCGGGGUUGACGGUAGCCGGGUAUGAAGCGCCGGCUAACUACGUG
Molecule: ribosomal RNA, 496 nt
Filed under: uncultured bacterium
Lineage: Bacteria
Description: partial 16S ribosomal RNA
Rfam family: Bacterial small subunit ribosomal RNA
Source: RNAcentral